CCUACGGGAGGCUGCAGUGGGGAAUAUUGGGCAAUGGUCGCAAGCUUGACCCAGCAACGCCGCGUGAAGGAAGAAGGCAUUCGGUUUGUAAACUUCUUUUGACAGGGAAGAGUAGAAGACGGUACCUGUCGAAUAAGCCACGGCUAACUACGUGCCAGCGGCCGCGGUAAUACGUAGGGCGGAAGCGUUGUCCGGAUUUACGGGGUUGAAAGGGCGUGUAGCCGGGUUGACAAGUCAGGUGUGAAAUCCUGCGGCUUAACCCCAGAACUGCAUUUGAAACUGUUGAUCUUGAGUACUGGAGAGGCAGACGGAAUUCGGAGUGUAGCGGUGAAAUGCGUAGAUAUGAGGAGGAACACCAGUGGCGAAGGCGGUCUGCUGGA
RNAcentral lists this ribosomal RNA (380 nucleotides) under uncultured bacterium. Its description in RNAcentral is "partial 16S ribosomal RNA". It matches the Rfam family "Bacterial small subunit ribosomal RNA", at positions 338 to 733 of the family's 1533-position model. The record is from RNAcentral.